CUUCCUCUUCAUCUGUAAAACGGGCUAAUGAAAGCACAUCGGAUCGUUUUGAGGACUGGAUGAAGCCAUGCAUGGAAAACACUUUGCGUUUAAAGAAACGUGAACUCCAUUUCACUACGCUGAAGACAGUUAAGCAUGUAGAGAAGUGGAGUAGCAGCCAGCACAAGUGGGGGGCAUGAAUCUGUCCCUCCUGACAGCAGCUUGUGGAGAGCUUUGGCCUGGGAAGUGCCGCAGGGGUGAAGAAUUAAAGAGAAGGCACAAAGAGGCCGAAAGCAGAGUGGGUGUGAACCGUCUGUAAAUAGGACUUUUGAAGAUGUAAUGAGUUAAGCUGUCCCCAGAUUGAAGGAGGGUGGCCUUAACCCAAUAUGGCUGAAGUCCUUAUAAGUGAAGGAAAUUGGACACAGAGAGGCCACGGGGAGAAGCUGGAAGUCAACAGAACCCAGAAGAGAAAGGAGAAGAUGCU
Molecule: long non-coding RNA, 463 nt
Organism: Choloepus didactylus (southern two-toed sloth)
Lineage: Eukaryota; Metazoa; Chordata; Mammalia; Pilosa; Megalonychidae
Exons: 3
Source: RefSeq, a predicted model, not a curated record